RNAcentral lists this ribosomal RNA (1002 nucleotides) under Cytospora sp. RNAcentral describes it as "SSU rRNA". It matches the Rfam family "Eukaryotic small subunit ribosomal RNA", at positions 95 to 1107 of the family's 1831-position model. Lineage: Eukaryota; Fungi; Ascomycota; Sordariomycetes; Diaporthales; Cytosporaceae. The record is from RNAcentral.
GGCUCAUUAAAUCAGUUAUCGUAUAUUUGAUAGUACCUACUACAUGGAUAACCGUGGUAAUUCUAGAGCUAAUACAUGCUUAAAAUCCCGACUUCGGAAGGGAUGUAUUUAUUAGAUUAAAAACCAAUGCCCUUCGGGGCUCACUGGUGAUUCAUAAUAACUUCUCGAAUCGCAUGGCCUUGUGCCGGCGAUGGUUCAUUCAAAUUUCUGCCCUAUCAACUUUCGACGGCUGGGUCUUGGCCAGCCGUGGUUACAACGGGUAACGGAGGGUUAGGGCUUGACCCCGGAGAAGGAGCCUGAGAAACGGCUACUACAUCCAAGGAAGGCAGCAGGCGCGCAAAUUACCCAAUCCCGACACGGGGAGGUAGUGACAAUAAAUACUGAUACAGGGCUCUUUUGGGUCUUGUAAUUGGAAUGAGUACAAUUUAAAUCCCUUAACGAGGAACAAUUGGAGGGCAAGUCUGGUGCCAGCAGCCGCGGUAAUUCCAGCUCCAAUAGCGUAUAUUAAAGUUGUUGCAGUUAAAAAGCUCGUAGUUGAACCUUGGGCCUGGCUGGCCGGUCUGCCUCACCGCAUGCACUGGUCCGGCCGGGCCUUUCCCUCUGGGGAUCCGCAUGCCCUUCACUGGGUGUGUCGGGGAACCAGGACUUUUACUGUGAAAAAAUUAGAGUGUUCAAAGCAGGCCUAUGCUCGAAUACAUUAGCAUGGAAUAAUAGAAUAGGACGUUGCGGUUCUAUUUUGUUGGUUUCUAGGACCGCCGUAAUGAUUAAUAGGGACAGUCGGGGGCGUCAGUAUUCAAUCGUCAGAGGUGAAAUUCUUGGAUCGAUUGAAGACUAACUACUGCGAAAGCAUUCGCCAAGGAUGUUUUCAUUAAUCAGGAACGAAAGUUAGGGGAUCGAAAACGAUCAGAUACCGUUGUAGUCUUAACCAUAAACUAUGCCGACUAGGGAUCGGGCGAUGUUAUUUCUUGACUCGCUCGGCACCUUACACGAAAGUAAAGUUUU